This 445-nucleotide ribosomal RNA is filed under the name uncultured bacterium. Its description in RNAcentral is "bacterial SSU rRNA". It matches the Rfam family "Bacterial small subunit ribosomal RNA", at positions 330 to 792 of the family's 1533-position model. The record is from RNAcentral.
CCCAGACUCCUACGGGAGGCAGCAGUGGGGAAUAUUGCACAAUGGGGGAAACCCUGAUGCAGCGACGCCGCGUGAGUGAAGAAGUAUUUCGGUAUGUAAAGCUCUAUCAGCAGGGAAGAAAAUGACGGUACCUGAUUAAGAAGCCCCGGCUGACUACGUGCCAGCAGCCGCGGUAAUACGUAGGGGGCAAGCGUUAUCCGGAUUUACUGGGUGUAAAGGGAGCGUAGACGGCAGCGCAAGUCUGAAGUGAAAUGCCGGGGCUUAACCCCGGAACUGCUUUGGAAACUGUGCAGCUAGAGUGCAGGAGAGGUAAGUGGAAUUCCUAGUGUAGCGGUGAAAUGCGUAGAUAUUAGGAGGAACACCAGUGGCGAAGGCGGCCUACUGGACUGUAACUGACGUUGAGGCUCGAAAGCGUGGAGAGCAAACAGGAUUAGAUACCCUUGUA